CGCAACAGGAGCCUGGCCGCCUGUCGUGCCGCCUCGGUCGAGCGAGCGCAGCUGCGGUCAUGUGGCGGCGUCGGGUGAGCCUGAUCGCCUGAUUUUCUUCUCUAUCUGCUCUAGUUCUUUUUCUUAAUGGGCCUUUAUUUUAGGCCAAAUCUAAAGAGUUAAUUUUUGGACCAUGACUAGGACCAUGGCCCUACUGGCCCUAGGCCCGCCCCUGGCACACAACCACAAUCACACACGCACAGGAGCGGUUGCGAACUUGGACUCGUUUUGACACAGCGGCUCUGCCACGCCAAGAUCUAUGGCGCGGCAGGUUCUGCCACGUCAGCCAUGCACGACUAGUCAUAUACCGCGUUAGUAGCUUUGUCGCACCGCCAUGCAUGGCGCGGCAGAGUACAAGAGCCGUGCCAUGUAUGGUGGCGCGGUCAAAAGGGUUAUAUUUUAAAAAAAAUAAAUUUAGGUGUCAAAUUUGAAAAUUGUUUUUAAAAAAUGUUAAAAAUAAAAAAAUCACGAAGGGAGAUCUAGAGUUGUGCUGCCUCACAGAGGGAUAAUGACGCACGUGUGAGGAUGAGGCUAACGGCGGGCAUGGUUGAUGGAGGGUGAAGGCGGAGAGAAGGGAGCCAGAGGCGAUGAGCCAAGGGUGCGAGUAUGCAUACGCCUUGUUUAGUUCCUAAUUUUUUUACUUCUUUCGUUUGUAUUUGAUAAAAAUUAUCCCAUCAUAAACUAACUAGACUUAAAGAUUCGUCUCACAAACUGUGUAAUUAGUUUUUGUUUUUGUCUAUAUGUAAUCCUUCUUUUACUACUACUACUACUGCUGCUACUACUACUACUGCUCCUACUACUGCUGUUGUAGUAUGAUAGAAUUCUGGAGAAUUUUAUCUUUGAAAAUCUUUAAAAUGUUACAUGAUGAGUUACUAUAUGAUGAGAGUUUAAAUUCCUACCACAGCCAUAUAUACAUACUUAUUAGACUAAGAACCAUACAUUUACUGUUUAUGAGCAUUGAGUGUGGUCAAGCUAUGUAGACCCUUAGGAGCUUAUCAUACGGUUAAAAUAAAGAUUCACUUGCACGUGCACUCAUAUAUGCUACUUCUACUUCAGAAGUACGCAUCUACACACAUCCACUUAUUUCCAUCUCCAGAUCCACCUAAAAUUAUUCUACUACUAUCCGAGAGAGAAUAGCCAAAAAACAUUCUCCUAUUUCUGUUAUUCCCUGUGAAAUAAAUACUCGAGUUAUCUUGGUUACUACCACUUACUACAUUAUUCCAGGCUCUGAAAAAAAGAGAAUACGAGGAAAUAAAAAGGAACAAGUGCCCAAAACCUCGAAGAAAAAAAAAGUGAGACGAGAGGUAAAAAUGGAUAAGUGUCCGACAACAGAAUUAGGGGUACAAGAUACCCACCUGAGAGAAAAGAAAAAAAAAGAGAAAAAAAAUAUAGAGCAUCUCAUUCUCCUCAAAAAGCUUCAAAGUACA
This 1466-nucleotide long non-coding RNA is filed under the name Sorghum bicolor (sorghum). Its description in RNAcentral is "long non-coding RNA (SBIC_LNC005895)". Lineage: Eukaryota; Viridiplantae; Streptophyta; Magnoliopsida; Poales; Poaceae. The record is from RNAcentral.